This 27-nucleotide non-coding RNA is filed under the name Bombyx mori (domestic silkworm). The record is from RNAcentral. Lineage: Eukaryota; Metazoa; Arthropoda; Insecta; Lepidoptera; Bombycidae.
UCGAUGAUUCUGCACUGAUGUUUGAGC